This 497-nucleotide ribosomal RNA is filed under the name uncultured bacterium. RNAcentral's name for it is "partial 16S ribosomal RNA". It matches the Rfam family "Bacterial small subunit ribosomal RNA", at positions 28 to 507 of the family's 1533-position model. The record is from RNAcentral.
GAUGAACGCUGGCGGCGUGCCUAAUACAUGCAAGUCGAGCGAACGGACGAGAAGCUUGCUUCUCUGAUGUUAGCGGCGGACGGGUGAGUAACACGUGGAUAACCUACCUAUAAGACUGGGAUAACUUCGGGAAACCGUAGCUAAUACCGGAUAAUAUUUUGAACCGCAUGGUUCAAAAGUGAAAGACGGUCUUGCUGUCACUUAUAGAUGGAUCCGCGCUGCAUUAGCUAGUUGGUAAGGUAACGGCUUACCAAGGCAACGAUGCAUAGCCGACCUGAGAGGGUGAUCGGCCACACUGGAACUGAGACACGGUCCAGACUCCUACGGGAGGCAGCAGUAGGGAAUCUUCCGCAAUGGGCGAAAGCCCGACGGAGCAACGCCGCGUGAGUGAUGAAGGUCUUCGGAUCGUAAAACUCCGUUAUUAGGGAAGAACAUAUGUGUAAGUAACUGUGCACAUCUUGACGGUACCUAAUCAGAAAGCCACGGCUAACUACGUG